AGCUCACACAGCCAGCUAGAAGUAAGGAAGGACAAUGAAGCUGAGAAUAAAGGACAGUGGCAAUAAUAGAUACAACAAUGGGAGAAACAAGAGAGGCCAGGAUGGAGAAGAAAGAAAGAACUAUCAAACAAAAAGGGGAAAACGAAUAGGAAAGAAGUGGGGAUUGGACUGACAGAAUGAAACCAGGAAAACUGCUGCAGAGUGAGAGUCUUCUAAAUGGAUUAAGAAGCCUAUCUCAAUCCCUCUGGAGAGUCCUCUUCAAUUCACAAUGAAGAUGUUGAAGAGCAGGGACAGACAUCAACACUCCUCUCCCCACCUUCCCCACUGGCAGAGGCAUUCAGGUCACUACUAGUGUCUCUCUUUCUCUUUUCCCCUUCUCUUAAUCUCUCACUGCCCUUCUCUCCAUGUCAUAUUCUCUUUUUCUCCUUCCCUCUCUUCCUUCUUACCUACUAAACUCCAUAUGUACCAAAAUCAGUCAAAGCUCUACUAUCUAGCUCUCUUUAUCUAGACUAAAGGAGUUGUCCACCUCUUGGUCUAGAUAACACUUGCAAAUAAAGACCUGCUCGUUUCCCAAAGCUAAGUAAUUGUUUUAGUUGAGCAACUGGGAAAGGAGGAUGGUUUUGUGUUGUACUCUGAUGCUAUUAUCCUUGGAUGGAGCGGGGAAGAUGUUGCUAUUGUCUGCAAGCUUAGCCCAUCAGCCCUGCAAUGUUUCCAUCAUGGAGCUCAACUGAGCAACUAUUGCACUCUCUGCAGCUGAGCCUCCCUUUUGACAUUAUAACAGAUUUUAAACACUGUGAAGACAUGAGAGAUUCUAGGGUGGAAGAAGCUAGGUGUCCCUGUUUACAUAGGCCCCACUAGAUCCCAAAGCUCUGCAGCUCAGGUCUCAGAAUUCCCCUUUGUCUUCAGUCUGAGAGUUACCUACGAGAGCAAGGUUACUCAGCAGAAGCUUUGCCCUGAGCUACAUUUUUGGGCCUCUGCCUGCAGGUGGCAUCAACUUGAAAGGACUUGUUGAGGAUUACCUUGAUAUCUCCAAAGAGGCUCUCAUCCACCUCAGAGCUCACGGCUUUGGUCCGAUAGCGAGCCUUAUUCCUUGACCUGUUGGAAGCGGCAGAAGAGGAGCUCAGGAUGCCAGCUGUGCUUAGUGGCUGCAGGAAGAGGCAGAAAGUUUGGGUCAUCAGUACUGAGUGGCAUCCAGACCCUGGGAAGUCAACAAUUCACCAGCCCAUGCUGGGGGAGUGGGUGGGCAUGUGAAAAAGAAACAGUUAGGGAAAGCGGCUGUGUAAACUCUGAACCAUAGGGGACAAGGAGCAACAGAUGGAGGGCAUCCCCACAGAGCAGGGAAGGGUCUCUGCAAAAAAAAGAGCUCUGCAUAAAGCAGCAUUUGUGUAAAACAGUUGAUCUCAUAGAAGUACAGAGUAGAAUGGUGGUUACCAGAGGC
Molecule: long non-coding RNA, 1438 nt
Filed under: Homo sapiens (human)
Lineage: Eukaryota; Metazoa; Chordata; Mammalia; Primates; Hominidae
Description: HSALNT0016222
Source: RNAcentral